AUUCUCCUUUCUCCCCUUAUUAAAAUAUUAUUUAAUAUUUAUUUAUUUUUAAAUAGAAAAUGUGGGUCCAGAUGGUGCAAAGACUCCAAUACCCUUAACAAAUUAGAAUAUUCUCAAACCCAACCUCUAAUUUAUCCACCCACCCAAAACAAAUCGGAUCUAACCCGUCCCUCUUCUCUCUCUCUCGUAACGUAAAGAAAAAAAUGGAAGAGGAAAACGCAGAGUACCGUUUGGAGAGCUUGAGAUGGCUGGCCUUGAUCGACGAGCCUCCGAGCUGCGGAGAGGAAAUCAUCCUUGGCGGUGGUGGGCUUGUCGAGAACGAAAGUCUGUAUUCCGAUGUUCUCUCACCCUUUCAACCUCCCGAUUUUCGUCCGCCUCCUCUCUGUUCAGUUGACCUCAACUUGAAAAUCUCGGGAAUUGAAUCGAAGAAUUUCUGAAUGGAAUUGUUGAUUGAACUACUUUAGGAAGAUGAUAAGAACGUGAUGACCCCAUUUUGGUUCGUCUGCUCGUCUCGUACUCUUUGGGUGUGAGGAGAAGACUAUAGCCGUAAUCAUGCAUGGGGAGAGCAGCAAACACAUGUUUUACAACAACGAAUCUUAAACCUAUAGGGACCGCACACACUCCACUCUGCGGCUGCUUCAAUUCCUUGAUCCUAUGCUCGCUAAUUCCCUCGGCAUCGGUUCACCACACUAUGUUUAGACGGAUCCUCCAUCUAAAAGGCUGUUUGGACCAAGUUGUGGAGAAGCUUGAAUUGGUUUUCCAACAAAAAAAGCCGCUAAUUUGUUCCUAAAAGCUGCUGAAAAAAGCUGAAUCUGUUUGAAAGCUCCCAAACAGUAUGAAAUCUGAUGAGUGACAAGUAGUGUCACAUAUCUGAAGUAGUCUCGAGUGACAAGUCUCAUCUUCAACGAUGUAUUUCACAUGGUGCAUAGAGACAUACGGGAACUUUUUCAUGGGUUCUGUGCACUUCUUCAUAGUAUUGUAAUCAUGUUUGGGAAAUGUUUGUCUGCUGAUGUAAAUUAGCAUUGUAAUAGCAGAAGUUCCAUAGAGAAAAUAAUGAAAAUUAAUGUUAAUUAUAUUUGCUAUUACUGAUGUUUGCUUUUAAAUCUUCUAGGUUUGUAAAAGGUUUGUGGACUAUUAGAAUACAAAGUAAUAAUACUAUGUGUGAAAAUAUAUAAUUAGCCGAAAAUAUAAAGUUGUAUAAAGCAUAUAAUAAGCCGAAAAUAUAUAGAGCUGUUAGAAAUAACCAUAAUACAUAGUAGUACAAGGUAAUCAAAAAAGUAGUCCAAUGUAAUCCUACUAGUGCUACUAAUCCACAAUACACAUUUAUAUUGAGCAAAUAUAAUAUUAUUUUUUAAAAUUUAUAUAAAAUAGUAUAUAUAUCCUUUUGUUUCAAGAAAAACGUAACUUUGAUAUUUUUACAAAGAUUAGAAAUGAUUUAAAUGCAUUCAUAAAUACAUAUAUUUUAUCAAAACUAUUUUUUGAAAAAAUUAUUUAUAAAAUCAAAGCAUUGUAUUUUUGAAAUUUAUUUUUGAAAUUUACUUUUAAUUAAAAUAUUUAAUAUUUUAAUUACACUUAGUAAUUCUUGGUAAUCUUCAAGGUAGUAGUAAUACUACCUUACACAUAGUAAUAUUUUGGCAAAUUUUAAGUUUUAUUAGUAAAACCAUGUCCAAAUGAAAUAUUUUUUAGUAAAACCAAUGAUUUUAUACAAUUAAUGUCAUUAAGAAAGAGUAUUACAUACACAAUUUACCAGAAAUAAGUAUUUUUAUAGAUUCUUGUUACUAUAACCUUACGAUUCACACAACAACCAUGAAAGUUAAGGCAUCAUUUUGGGAAAAUGAUAAAUAUUCCUAAACUAUAUAAAUUAAUCAUCUAAAUAGUUUUAAUAGUCGUAUUUACUAUAUAUAUAGUCUACUAAUAGAUACUAAAUGAGUUUUAUAUGUUAAAUAUACGUACUACUUGCAAUAUAUAGGGUUUCAAAUUAUACAUAAUAUAACCAAGUAAUCAUAGUAGUCUGAAUUACACAUAAUAAACCCAGUAGUCCUAGUAGUACAAAUCACACACAAUAAAUCCAGUAAUCUUAGUAUUCCGAUUACACACAAUAAACCCAAUAAUCCUAGUAUCUUAGAUAAAGCCCACACCUGUCGUGCUGGAUGACAAUAAAAAAACACAUGGUUUAUCGAUUCCUCCUGAUCACCACAACGUGAGCAAAAUAUAUCUCCUUGUAUUCCUCUUGCAUUUAGGUUCUUCAUGACCGCUAUACAUCCUGAAAGUAGUCGCCAUAAGAAAUGCAUUAUCUUCGGAGGACACUUCAAAUUCCAGCAGUAGGCUUUAAGAACAUCAACUGUGGGUCCAUAAAAUUCUGGUGGUUUUUCCUUAUCUGGAUAGACUCUUUCCACUUGAUACCCAGAUUGUACCGUAUAUUUUCCAUUGUUAGUAAAAUGCCAUCCAAACUUAUCAUCCAUCUGAUUUGUACUCAAGGGAAUACUUGUAAUGAUCUUAAUAUCCUCCAGGGCAACCAAAGUGCUUAUAGCCUGUAAAAAAUACUAUCUUAUUAUUUUAUCGAUUUGUGACAUAUUUUGAACCGGCCUAAUUCGGGACCGAAGAAAUUUAUUAUUUUAUAGAGAUUUUAUAUUUAUCGAGUAUUAAUUUAUAGAGUAAUUAUUGUACUAGUUUGAUUAGUAGUACCCAUAAACUUUUAUUUUUGCGAAAUAAUCUACUUUUUAUGAAGAUAUUGUUCGGAUAAUACCACUACAAUCAUAUUUACGACCAUUUCAAAUUCCUAAUAUACUACAGAUCCAUAAACAUAGCUUAAACCUAAAUACAGUUUUCAAAAAAAAAAUCAGCCUCUCUCUAAAUUACUAUCUACUCUUACAUUAUUUACAUUACCCAUGAUAUAUAUUUCAUUUUAAUGAUAUUCUAUAAAAAAAUUAUCAAAAACGGCUAUAAAAACAACACGAAACACAAAAACAUAGUGGUGAAAAACGUUUUCAUUCUUUUAGAAUUAACAUCAAAUCUUAUUUUUUUUUAUAUUGCCCAUGAUAGAAACUUAUUUUAAUGAUAUUUAUAAAAAAAUCGUAAAAAAUGGACAUAAAUUACCUCUAUUUUGAAUUUUAAAACUCAUUAAUGGAGGAUGAAAGGUGGAGCACGAUGGGGAAGAAGAAAGAAAGGGAAAUUAAUGUGAUUCUAUUGGUUAGAGUUUUCUUGUGGGGUCAAAUAGUUUACAUUUAUGGUGAGUUUAUUAAAAUGAAUAAUUUAAUAUAUUAAUGAGAUGGAAAGUGAAGUGUAAUAUAUAUAGUAAAUAAAUAGAAGGUUAGUAUAGGGAUUGCAAUGAUAAAGGGGUAGUGGGAAUAGAGAGGGGACAAGGAGAAUGGUUUUUUUAUGAUAAGGGUAUAUUGAGUUAAAGUCCGAGAUGAUUAACUCCAUAUGCCCCUCCCACUCUUAAAAAAUCCUCCUUUCUCCCCUUAUUAAAAUAUCAUUUAAUAUUUAUUUAUUUUUAAAUAGAAAACGUGGGUCCAGAUGGUGCAAAGACUCCAAUACCCUUAACAAAUUAGAAUAUUCUCAAACCCAACCUCUAAUUUAUCCACCCACCCAAAACAAAUCGGAUCUAACCCGUCCCUCUUCUCUCUCUCUCGUAAAGUAAAGAAAAAAAUGGAAGAGGAAAACGCAGAGUACCGUUUGGAGAGCUUGAGAUGGCUGGCCUUGAUCGACGAGCCUCCGAGCUACGGAGAGGAAAUCAUCCUUGGCGGUGGUGGGCUUGUCGAGAACGAAGUCUGUAUUCCGAUGUUCUCUCACCCUUUCAACCUCCCGAUUUUCGUCCACCUCCUCUCUGUUCAGUUGACCUCAACUUGAAAAUCUCGGGAAUUGAAUCGAAGAAUUUCUGAAUUGAAUUGUUGAUUGAACUACUUUAGGAAGAUGAUAAGAACGUGAUGACCCCAUUUUGGUUCGUCUGCUCGUCUCGUACUCUUUGGGUGUGAGGAGAAGACUAUAGCCGUAAUCAUGCAUGGGGAGAGCAGCAAACACAUGUUUUACAACAACGAAUCUUAAACCUAUAGGGACCGCACACACUCCACUCUGCGGCUGCUUCAAUUCCUUGAUCCUAUGCUCGCUAAUUCCCUCGGCAUCGGUUCACCACACUAGUACGAUCUCGAGCUUUGAAGGUUCAAAUCUUCUUUAUUUUGCUUAUUUAUUUCAAAAAUCAUAAAAUUCAUGAGAAAAUUUAAAGUUUUGUAAUUGAGAUCAGAAUCGGGGGUUUUCUUUAUAGAUUCAUGUUCUUGGUAAACGAGAUCGUGGCGUUGUAUUUGGAUAUAACAAUGAAGAUGAGACGCUGUGUGUGUCGUGUGUGGGAUUGUGCUUCUGAACAUAUCUUGAUUCGAUUCUAUUCUGUUUUGUAGGCAUACUAAAAACGUUAACUUGUUCUUUGACGUUCUAUAUUUGCUGAAUGGAUUUUACAUUUCAUAACUAGUACCUAUUUGAUAAGGUGGUAUAGAAUUAAGAUCUGGGUUCUUUUGAAAAAGUUCAUUUUGGCUUUACAAAUAUGUAGUGCUUAGACGGAUCCUCCAUCUAAAAGGCUGUUUGGACCAAGUUGGGGAGAAGCUUGAAUUGGUUUUCCAACAAAAAAAAGCCGCUAAUUUGUUCCUAAAAGCUGCUGAAAAAAGCUGAAUCUGUUUGAAAGCUCCCAAACAGUAUGGAAUCUGAUGAGUGACAAGUAGUGUCACAUAUCUGAAGUAGUCUCGAGUGACAAGUCUCAUCUUCAACGAUGUAUUUCACAUGGUGCAUAGAGACAUACGAGAACUUUUUCAUGGGUUCUGUGCACUUCUUCAUAGUAUUGUAAUCAUGUUUGGGAAAUGUUUGUCUGCUGAUGUAAAUUAGCAUUGUAAUAGCAGAAGUUCCAUAGAGAAAAUAAUGAAAAUUAAUGUUAAUUAUAUUUGCUAUUACUGAUGUUUGCUUUUAAAUCUUCUAGGUUUGUAAAAGGUUUGUGGACUAUUAGAAUACAAAGUAAUAAUACUAUGUGUGAAAAUAUAUAAUUAGCCGAAAAUAUAAAGUUGUAUAAAGCAUAUAAUAAGCCGAAAAUAUAUAGAGCUGUUAGAAAUAACCAUAAUACAUAGUAGUACAAGGUAAUCAAAAAAGUAGUCCAAUGUAAUCCUACUAGUGCUACUAAUCCACAAUACACAUUUAUAUUGAGCAAAUAUAAUAUUAUUUUUUAAAAUUUAUAUAAAAUAGUAUAUAUAUCCUUUUGUUUUAAGAAAAACGUAACUUUGAUAUUUUUACAAAGAUUAGAAAUGAUUUAAAUGCAUUCAUAAAUACAUAUAUUUUAUCAAAACUAUUUUUUGAAAAAAUUAUUUAUAAAAUCAAAGCAUUGUAUUUUUGAAAUUUAUUUUUGAAAUUUACUUUUAAUUAAAAUAUUUAAUAUUUUAAUUACACUUAGUAAUUCUUGGUAAUCUUCAAGGUAGUAGUAAUACUACCUUACACAUAGUAAUAUUUUGGCAAAUUUUAAGUUUUAUUAGUAAAACCAUGUCCAAAUGAAAUAUUUUUUAGUAAAACCAAUGAUUUUAUACAAUUAAUGUCAUUAAGAAAGAGUAUUACAUAAACAAUUUACCAGAAAUAAGUAUUUUUAUAGAUUCUUGUUACUAUAACCUUACGAUUCACACAACAACCAUGAAAGUUAAGGCAUCAUUUUGGGAAAAUGAUAAAUAUUCCUAAACUAUAUAAAUUAAUCAUCUAAAUAGUUUUAAUAGUCGUAUUUACUAUAUAUAUAGUCUACUAAUAGAUACUAAAUGAGUUUUAUAUGUUAAAUAUACGUACUACUUGCAAUAUAUAGGGGUUUCAAAUUAUACAUAAUAUAACCAAGUAAUCAUAGUAGUCUGAAUUACACAUAAUAAACCCAGUAGUCCUAGUAGUACGAAUCACACACAAUAAAUCCAGUAAUCUUAGUAUUCCGAUUACACACAAUAAACCCAAUAAUCCUAGUAUCUUAGAUAAAGCCCACACCUGUCGUGCUGGAUGACAAUAAAAAACUCAUGGUUUAUCGAUUCCUCCUGAUCACCACAACGUGAGCAAAAUAUAUCUCCUUGUAUUCCUCUUGCAUUUAGGUUCUUCAUGACCGCUAUACAUCCUGAAAGUAGUCGCCAUAAGAAAUGCAUUAUCUUCGGAGGACACUUCAAAUUCCAGCAGUAGGCUUUAAGAACAUCAACUGUGGGUCCAUAAAAUUCUGGUGGUUUUUCCUUAUCUGGAUAGACUCUUUCCACUUGAUACCCAGAUUGUACCGUAUAUUUUCCAUUGUUAGUAAAAUGCCAUCCAAGCUUAUCAUCCAUCUGAUUUGUACUCAAGGGAAUACUUGUAAUGAUCUUAAUAUCCUCUGGGGCAAUCAAAGUGCUUAUAGCCUGUAAAAAAUACUAUCUUAUUAUUUUAUCGAUUUGUGACAUAUUUUGAACCGGCCUAAUUCGGGACCGAAGAAAUUUAUUAUUUUAUAGAGAUUUUAUAUUUAUCUAGUAUUAAUUUAUAGAGUAAUUAUUGUACUAGUUUGAUUAGUAGUACCCAUAAACUUUUAUUUUUGCGAAAUAAUCUACUUUUUAUGAAGAUAUUGUUCGGAUAAUACCACUACAAUCAUAUUUACGACCAUUUCAAAUUCCUACUAUACUACAGAUCCAUAAACAUAGCUUAAACCUAAAUACAGUUUUCAAAAAAAAAAUCAGCCUCUCUCUAAAUUACUAUCUACUCUUACAUUAUUUACAUUACCCAUGAUAUAUAUUUCAUUUUAAUGAUAUUCUAUAAAAAAAUUAUCAAAAACGGCUAUAAAAACAACACGAAACACAAAAACAUAGUGGUGAAAAACGUUUUCAUUCUUUUAGAAUUAACAUCAAAUCUUAUUUUUUUUAUAUUGCCCAUGAUAGAAACUUAUUUUAAUGAUAUUUAUAAAAAAAUCGUAAAAAAUGGACAUAAAUUACCUCUAUUUUGAAUUUUAAAACUCAUUAAUGGAGGAUGAAAGGUGGAGCACGAUGGGGAAGAAGAAAGAAAAGGAAAUUAGUGUGAUUCUAUUGGUUAAAGUUUUCUUGUGGGGUCAAAUAGUUUACAUUUAUGGUGAGUUUAUUAAAAUGAAUAAUUUAAUAUAUUAAUGAGAUGGAAAGUGAAGUGUAAUAUAUAUAGUAAAUAAAUAGAAGGUUAGUAUAGGGAUUGCAAUGAUAAAUGGGUAGUGGGAAUAGAGAGGAGACAAGGAGAAUGGUUUUUUUAUGAUAAGGAUAUAUUGAGUUAAAGUCCCGCCGGAGGGGGGGAGCUGUAUAACGACGCUGCACUUAGAUUUCUUUUUGUUUUGUUUGUUAAUUUUUUUGUCGCAAAAAGAAUAGGGCAAUUAGUUAGGGCAUGACUAGAUAGCGGUUGCCAAUACAAAUGCUUGAAUCUACAUAUGCUAGUGGUUCAAUUUCAAACGUUAUUAGAGCUCCGAUUGGCAUUGAAAUUGAAAUGGCUUAGCGAUUUUACUUGUUUUGCUUGUGUGGACGGUUUGGUUAAUUAGUCUUAUAAAUUGGUUUGGUUUAUAUACGUCAUCAUUAGAGCAGCAUUAAAGCUGUCUCUUAAAUAGGUUUUUUAGUAUAAUUGUGAUUUAAAAAAAAAAGUAAUUACCACAAGAGAUGUCUCCUAAUUACCACAAGAGACGUCUCGUCUCCUAAUUAAGGUGUGGAAGAGCCGUCUCUUCUCUUCAUCUCUCCGUCUCUAUCUCUUCCUCUCUAUCUCUUCCUCCCUGUCUCUCUCCUCUCUGUCUCUCUCCCGAUGAUGAAUCCACAAGGCCAUCUCGAACCUGAUUCCGAACCUCCUCCGACGAUUCCUUCGAGUCGGUGGGUGUUGAGAUGAGGAAUGGUGAAGAAACUAAAUGUGUUUUCCCCAUGACGAGUCUCCAGAUCGGAGACUUGCAAUCAUAUCUUUCUGAUCUCAGUAUUUUCAUGGCCAAUAAAAGCAAGAAGAUUUACAUAUUGGUAGACAACCGGCCAUGGUUGAAUCCUGGCACCCGAUCUGCUCACUUCUGGAAACUUAUGGUUACAAAGUCCAGACUCUCUUUGACUCGCGUUGAUCGACGCCACAACCUUUUCCAAGAACAAAAAUACCUGCAAAGAAACUGCAAAGCUCUUUGUAUCUAAACAAGCAGCUGCACAAGACAUUGUACUGUUUCAUCGUGUUUGAAGUUGAGUGGGAGAAUGUGAGGGGUAUCAAUUACCUGAAUGAGCUACAGACAGACACCUCUCUUGCUAUUGAAGCUAAGUUGAUGCGAAGGUGGGAGUUCGAGAGCAGCUGCACAAGACAUUGUACGGUUUCAUCGUGCUUGAAGUUGAGUGGGACAAUGUGAGGGGUAUCAAUUACCUGAAUGAGCUACAUACAGACACCUCUCUUGCUAUUGAAGCUAAGUUGAUAUGAAGGUGGGAGUUCGAGAGCAUCGACCAAGCUGUAACGAAUAUGUCUCAGUGGUUCUCUGGAUCAAAAUCAGAAAGAUCUUGCUUGAUGGAAUAUCUUGAUACAACUAAAGGUAUUAUUCCCUUUUCACUAAUGGCUUAUCGUUCUCUAGAUCAAGUAAGCUUACACAAUAUUGUUCCCUUGUAAUCUUCUCUAUAUUAAGUUUUGGUAAAACCAAACAAUUUGAUCACAAAUUUUCUUUUUCUCUCAUUCUUUCUAUAAAGUCAUAUUCUCUUUUCUCAUUCUCUAUAUAAAGGGUUAAAUCAUUUUCUAUAUAAACCGAAUAAUUUUUUUUUAAGAACUCUUAAUUAAGGGAGUAUCAUUGGAGCAUAUAAAUGUUGAUGUCUCUUAACUAAGUUCUUAAGUAACAUUUAUUAUUAAAAAAAAUCAUUAAGAGACCCUAAUGGGGUUGUAAGGUUAAUCAUGCUCUUAGUGCUUUAAAAGGAGGCAGUAAGGCUUCAGAAUGGUGAUGUGGUUUGUCUAUGUGCUAGCCAAAGUGAACUUGGUAGAGUGAGCAUCUGCUGUUAAGCUCUGCCAGUUAGUGUUAUCUUGACUCAUGUCGGAUCUAGGUUUUGUUGUUGAACGUCGUUGCUUAGACUUUCAAGGCAACCUUCGACGCAGCCUCUACUAUCUGCUUAGAUGAAUGAUUCUUUGUUUGUUUUACGAGAGGAAAUAACUUUCUUUUGCUACAUAAGCAUUUGUUAAAUCUUUUUCUUGUAUCUCCUUUUGACUCGUUUAUGGCUUCGGCUUUAUUCGAUUCUAAGUUAUUAUCGUUACUUUUACAUUCUAAUGCUAGCAAACAGAUGUGUUUGAGUCUUAAUUGUCUUUAUUUCCAUGUUUUGUUUUUCUUGAUGUGGACUAAUCGUUUCAGAUCUUUCGAUCUAUUAAAGAAAAUUGUAACU
Molecule: long non-coding RNA, 9338 nt
Organism: Brassica napus (rape)
Lineage: Eukaryota; Viridiplantae; Streptophyta; Magnoliopsida; Brassicales; Brassicaceae
Exons: 6
Source: RefSeq, a predicted model, not a curated record